Molecule: ribosomal RNA, 253 nt
Filed under: uncultured bacterium
Lineage: Bacteria
Description: partial 16S ribosomal RNA
Rfam family: Bacterial small subunit ribosomal RNA
Source: RNAcentral
UACGUAGGGGGCGAGCGUUGUCCGGAAUCAUUGGGCGUAAAGAGCGUGUAGGCGGCUUGGCAAGUCGGAUGUGAAAGCCCUCGGCUUAACUGAGGAAGUGCACCCGAAACUGAGUAGCUAGAGUACUAAAGAGGGUCGCGGAAUUCCCGGUGUAGAGGUGAAAUUCGUAGAUAUCGGGAGGAACACCGGUGGCGAAGGCGGCGACCUGGGUAGAUACUGACGCUGAGGCGCGAAAGCGUGGGGAGCGAACAGG